GACGAACGCUGGCGGCGUGCUUAACACAUGCAAGUCGAACGGAAAGGCCCUGCUUUUGUGGGGUGCUCGAGUGGCGAACGGGUGAGUAACACGUGAGUAACCUGCCCUUGACUUUGGGAUAACUUCAGGAAACUGGGGCUAAUACCGGAUAGGAGCUCCUGCUGCAUGGUGGGGGUUGGAAAGUUUCGGCGGUUGGGGAUGGACUCGCGGCUUAUCAGCUUGUUGGUGGGGUAGUGGCUUACCAAGGCUUUGACGGGUAGCCGGCCUGAGAGGGUGACCGGCCACAUGGGGACGGAGAUACGGCCAAGACUCCUACGGGGGGCAGCAGUGGGGAAUAUUGCACAAUGGGCGGAAGCCUGAUGCAGCAACGCCGCGUGCGGGAUGACGGCCUUCGGGUUGUAAACCGCUUUCGCCUGUGACGAAGCGUGAGUGACGGUAAUGGGUAAAGAAGCACCGGCUAACUACGU
This 467-nucleotide ribosomal RNA is filed under the name uncultured bacterium. RNAcentral describes it as "partial 16S ribosomal RNA". It matches the Rfam family "Bacterial small subunit ribosomal RNA", at positions 28 to 506 of the family's 1533-position model. The record is from RNAcentral.